AUUUAAGAGCAGUUAAUGAUGCGGUAGUUAAAGGACCACUCUAGGCACCCAGAGUGGCUUAAUAAAAUUAUACUGUGACAUGAGGGAAAAAACUUUAUUAAUAAAAAUAUUAUUGUUCAUUCAAUGCGUGCUUGGAGUUGUGUUUCUAUCCCAUACGUUUCUGCACGUUUUUAAUAGAAAUAAUUGCGACGUUGCUUGGACAUUCGCAAAACUUUAAUUUGUGAAUUGAAGUCACUCGUUUUUACUGGCGCCGGAAUAACUGUAGAGCGUGUUUUGAG
Non-coding RNA from Pelobates cultripes (western spadefoot toad), 278 nucleotides. NCBI's taxonomy places the organism in Eukaryota, Metazoa, Chordata, Amphibia, Anura, Pelobatidae. The record is from the annotation of a GenBank genome assembly.